ACGGCUCAGUAACACGUGGAUAACCUGCCCAAGGGUCCGGGAUAACCCCGGGAAACUGGGGAUAAUACCGGAUGGAUCACUUAUGCUGAAUGCUUGGUGGUCGAAAGGUGACGCCCUUGGAUGGGUCUGCGGCGGAUUAGGUUGACGCCGGUGUAACGUACCGGCGUGCCUGUAAUCCGUACGGGUUGUGGGAGCAAGAGCCCGGAGAUGGAUUCUGAGACACGAAUCCAGGCCCUACGGGGCGCAGCAGGCGCGAAAACUCUACAAUGCAGGCAACUGCGAUAGGGGGACAUCGAGUGGCAUCCACCUUGGGUGCCUGUCCCACCGUCUAAAAAACGGUGGUUAGCAAGGGCCGGGCAAGACCGGUGCCAGCCGCCGCGGUAACACCGGCGGCUCGAGUGGUAACCGCUAUUAUUGGGUCUAAAGGGUCUGUAGCCGGCCGGAUAAGUCUCUUGGGAAAUCCAGCUGCUCAACAGUUGGGCUUUCAGGAGAUACUGUUCGGCUCGAGGCCGGGAGAGGUGAGAGGUACUUCAGGGGUAGGGGUGAAAUCUUGUAAUCCUUGAAGGACCACCAGUGGCGAAGGCGUCUCACCAGAACGGACCUGACGGCAAGGGACGAAAGCUAGGGGCACGAACCGGAUUAGAUACCCGGGUAGUCCUAGCCGUAAACGAUACUCGCUAGGUGUCAGCCACGGUGCGACCGUGGUUGGUGCCGUAGGGAAGCCGUGAAGCGAGCCACCUGGGAAGUACGGCCGCAAGGCUGAAACUUAAAGGAAUUGGCGGGGGAGCAC
This 790-nucleotide ribosomal RNA is filed under the name uncultured archaeon. RNAcentral describes it as "bacterial SSU rRNA". It matches the Rfam family "Archaeal small subunit ribosomal RNA", at positions 85 to 879 of the family's 1478-position model. The record is from RNAcentral.